RNAcentral lists this ribosomal RNA (497 nucleotides) under uncultured bacterium. RNAcentral describes it as "partial 16S ribosomal RNA". It matches the Rfam family "Bacterial small subunit ribosomal RNA", at positions 28 to 507 of the family's 1533-position model. The record is from RNAcentral.
GAUGAACGCUGGCGGCGUGCCUAAUACAUGCAAGUCGAGCGAACAGACGAGGAGCUUGCUCCUCUGACGUUAGCGGCGGACGGGUGAGUAACACGUGGAUAACCUACCUAUAAGACUGGGAUAACUUCGGGAAACCGGAGCUAAUACCGGAUAAUAUAUUGAACCGCAUGGUUCAAUAGUGAAAGACGGUUUUGCUGUCACUUAUAGAUGGAUCCGCGCCGCAUUAGCUAGUUGGUAAGGUAACGGCUUACCAAGGCGACGAUGCGUAGCCGACCUGAGAGGGUGAUCGGCCACACUGGAACUGGGACACGGUCCAGACUCCUACGGGAGGCAGCAGUAGGGAAUCUUCCGCAAUGGGCGAAAGCCUGACGGAGCAACGCCGCGUGAGUGAUGAAGGUCUUCGGAUCGUAAAACUCUGUUAUUAGGGAAGAACAAAUGUGUAAGUAACUAUGCACGUCUUGAUGGUACCUAAUCAGAAAGCCACGGCUAACUACGUG